UACAGAGGUCUCAAGCGUUGUACGGAUUCAUUGGGCGUAAAGGGUGCGUAGGCGGCGCGGUAAGUCGGGUGUGAAAUCUCGGGGCUUAACUCCGAAACUGCAUUCGAUACUGCCGUGCUUGAGGACUGGAGAGGAGACUGGAAUUUACGGUGUAGCGGUGAAAUGCGUAGAUAUCGUAAGGAAGACCAGUGGCGAAGGCGGGUCUCUGGACAGUUCCUGACGCUGAGGCACGAAGGCCAGGGGAGCAAACGGG
RNAcentral lists this ribosomal RNA (253 nucleotides) under uncultured bacterium. Its description in RNAcentral is "partial 16S ribosomal RNA". It matches the Rfam family "Bacterial small subunit ribosomal RNA", at positions 524 to 776 of the family's 1533-position model. The record is from RNAcentral.